This is a non-coding RNA of Camellia sinensis, 655 nucleotides long. NCBI's taxonomy places the organism in Eukaryota, Viridiplantae, Streptophyta, Magnoliopsida, Ericales, Theaceae. The record is from RefSeq and is a predicted model, not a curated record.
UUUAGUUAUGUUCAUUAUGCUUAAUUGGGCAUUACUAUUGUUGUUAUAAUAUAUAUUUGUGAUUACAAAUUAGGAGAAGCAAAAAAGGCAAUGUAUCACUAUAAGCAAGCUAGUGCUGAAUCAGACCCUGAUGUCUUGACUAAAGCUAAAAAUCUUCAGGUUCAUCUGAGUAAGUGUACUGAGGCCAAGAUACAACGAGAUUGAAACACACUAUUGAAAGAAACCAGGCUCGCCAUAUCAGCUGGUGCUGAUUCUGCCCCACAACGGCUCAAAGAGCAGCACGGCUGGACUCAAGCAGCAAGGAAGUGAACAUGGUGGUUAGGAGGACACGGGCGGUGGCAAUGGCUCGAUCCAACGAGCCACUUGCAGGUCCAAACUUGGUCAAUUUGAGAGAGCAAUCAAGGACUGGACUGCUGCCCUUAAUGUGCGCCCAUCUUACAGGAAAGCCAGAUUAAGAAGAGUCAAUUGCUAUGCCAAGGUUAUGGCAAGCAACACAAAGAUCUACAUUGUGCUCGAGUAUGUUGGCGAGGGCGAGCUUUUUGACAAAAUAGCCAAACUAGGAAGACUUAAAGAGGAUGAAGCUAGGAGAUAUUUUCAGCAGCUCAUCAAUGCUGUAGACUAUUGCCACAAUAGAGGCAUGUACCAUAGAGACUAA